RNAcentral lists this ribosomal RNA (2903 nucleotides) under Enterobacter cloacae. RNAcentral's name for it is "bacterial LSU rRNA". It matches the Rfam family "Bacterial large subunit ribosomal RNA". Lineage: Bacteria; Pseudomonadati; Pseudomonadota; Gammaproteobacteria; Enterobacterales; Enterobacteriaceae. The record is from RNAcentral.
UUAAGCGACUAAGCGUACACGGUGGAUGCCCUGGCAGUCAGAGGCGAUGAAGGACGUGCUAAUCUGCGAAAAGCGCCGGCGAGGUGAUAUGAACCUUUGACCCGUCGAUGUCCGAAUGGGGAAACCCAGUGUGUUCCGACACACUAUCGUUAACUGAAUACAUAGGUUAACGAGGCGAACCGGGGGAACUGAAACAUCUAAGUACCCCGAGGAAAAGAAAUCAACCGAGAUUCCCCCAGUAGCGGCGAGCGAACGGGGAGCAGCCCGGAGUCUGAAUCAGCUUGUGUGUUAGUGGAACGGUCUGGAAAGUCCGACGGUACAGGGUGAUAGUCCCGUACACGAAAAUGCACAUGUUGUGAACUCGAAGAGUAGGGCGGGACACGUGGUAUCCUGUCUGAAUAUGGGGGGACCAUCCUCCAAGGCUAAAUACUCCUGACUGACCGAUAGUGAACCAGUACCGUGAGGGAAAGGCGAAAAGAACCCCGGCGAGGGGAGUGAAAAAGAACCUGAAACCGUGUACGUACAAGCAGUGGGAGCACCUUCGGGUGUGACUGCGUACCUUUUGUAUAAUGGGUCAGCGACUUAUAUUCUGUAGCAAGGUUAACCGUAUAGGGGAGCCGAAGGGAAACCGAGUCUUAACUGGGCGUUAAGUUGCAGGGUAUAGACCCGAAACCCGGUGAUCUAGCCAUGGGCAGGUUGAAGGUUGGGUAACACUAACUGGAGGACCGAACCGACUAAUGUUGAAAAAUUAGCGGAUGACCUGUGGCUGGGGGUGAAAGGCCAAUCAAACCGGGAGAUAGCUGGUUCUCCCCGAAAGCUAUUUAGGUAGCGCCUCGUGAACUCAUCUUCGGGGGUAGAGCACUGUUUCGGCUAGGGGGCCAUCCCGGCUUACCAACCCGAUGCAAACUACGAAUACCGAAGAAUGUUAUCACGGGAGACACACGGCGGGUGCUAACGUCCGUCGUGAAGAGGGAAACAACCCAGACCGCCAGCUAAGGUCCCAAAGUCAUGGUUAAGUGGGAAACGAUGUGGGAAGGCACAGACAGCCAGGAUGUUGGCUUAGAAGCAGCCAUCAUUUAAAGAAAGCGUAAUAGCUCACUGGUCGAGUCGGCCUGCGCGGAAGAUGUAACGGGGCUAAACCAUGCACCGAAGCUGCGGCAGCGACACUUAUGUGUUGUUGGGUAGGGGAGCGUUCUGUAAGCCGUUGAAGGUGUGCUGUGAGGCAUGCUGGAGGUAUCAGAAGUGCGAAUGCUGACAUAAGUAACGAUAAAGCGGGUGAAAAGCCCGCUCGCCGGAAGACCAAGGGUUCCUGUCCAACGUUAAUCGGGGCAGGGUGAGUCGACCCCUAAGGCGAGGCCGAAAGGCGUAGUCGAUGGGAAACAGGUUAAUAUUCCUGUACUUGGUGUUACUGCGAAGGGGGGACGGAGAAGGCUAUGUCAGCCGGGCGACGGUUGUCCCGGUUUAAGCAUGUAGGCGGAGGUUCCAGGUAAAUCCGGUACCUUAUUAACGCUGAGGUGUGAUGACGAGGCACUACGGUGCUGAAGUGAUAAAUGCCCUGCUUCCAGGAAAAGCCUCUAAGCAUCAGGUAACACGAAAUCGUACCCCAAACCGACACAGGUGGUCAGGUAGAGAAUACCAAGGCGCUUGAGAGAACUCGGGUGAAGGAACUAGGCAAAAUGGUGCCGUAACUUCGGGAGAAGGCACGCUGAUAUGUAGGUGAAGCCCCUGCGGGCGGAGCUGAAAUCAGUCGAAGAUACCAGCUGGCUGCAACUGUUUAUUAAAAACACAGCACUGUGCAAACACGAAAGUGGACGUAUACGGUGUGACGCCUGCCCGGUGCCGGAAGGUUAAUUGAUGGGGUUAGCGGCAACGCGAAGCUCUUGAUCGAAGCCCCGGUAAACGGCGGCCGUAACUAUAACGGUCCUAAGGUAGCGAAAUUCCUUGUCGGGUAAGUUCCGACCUGCACGAAUGGCGUAAUGAUGGCCAGGCUGUCUCCACCCGAGACUCAGUGAAAUUGAACUCGCUGUGAAGAUGCAGUGUACCCGCGGCAAGACGGAAAGACCCCGUGAACCUUUACUAUAGCUUGACACUGAACACUGGUCCUUGAUGUGUAGGAUAGGUGGGAGGCUUUGAAGCGUGGACGCCAGUCUGCGUGGAGCCGUCCUUGAAAUACCACCCUUUAAUGGCUGGUGUUCUAACGUAGACCCGUGAUCCGGGUUGCGGACAGUGUCUGGUGGGUAGUUUGACUGGGGCGGUCUCCUCCCAAAGAGUAACGGAGGAGCACGAAGGUUGGCUAAUCCUGGUCGGACAUCAGGAGGUUAGUGCAAUGGCAUAAGCCAGCUUGACUGCGAGCGUGACGGCGCGAGCAGGUGCGAAAGCAGGUCAUAGUGAUCCGGUGGUUCUGAAUGGAAGGGCCAUCGCUCAACGGAUAAAAGGUACUCCGGGGAUAACAGGCUGAUACCGCCCAAGAGUUCAUAUCGACGGCGGUGUUUGGCACCUCGAUGUCGGCUCAUCACAUCCUGGGGCUGAAGUAGGUCCCAAGGGUAUGGCUGUUCGCCAUUUAAAGUGGUACGCGAGCUGGGUUUAGAACGUCGUGAGACAGUUCGGUCCCUAUCUGCCGUGGGCGCUGGAGAAUUGAGGGGGGCUGCUCCUAGUACGAGAGGACCGGAGUGGACGCAUCACUGGUGUUCGGGUUGUCAUGCCAAUGGCACUGCCCGGUAGCUAAAUGCGGAAGAGAUAAGUGCUGAAAGCAUCUAAGCACGAAACUUGCCCCGAGAUGAGUUCUCCCUGAGACUUUAAGUCUCCUGAAGGAACGUUGAAGACGACGACGUUGAUAGGUCGGGUGUGUAAGCGCAGCGAUGCGUUGAGCUAACCGAUACUAAUGAACCGUGAGGCUUAACCUU